RNAcentral lists this ribosomal RNA (255 nucleotides) under uncultured bacterium. RNAcentral's name for it is "partial small subunit ribosomal RNA". It matches the Rfam family "Bacterial small subunit ribosomal RNA", at positions 26 to 285 of the family's 1533-position model. The record is from RNAcentral.
AGGACGAACGCUGGCGGCGUGCUUAACACAUGCAAGUCGAGCGGAAAGGCCCUUCGGGGUACUCGAGCGGCGAACGGGUGAGUAACACGUGAGCAAUCUGCCCCUAGCUCUGGGAUAGCUCCGGGAAAACCGGGAUUAAUACCAGAUACAACCACUUUAGACAUCUUUUGUGGUGGAAAGGAUUCCGGCUAGGGAUGAGCUCGCGGCCUAUCAGCUUGUUGGUGAGGUAACGGCUCACCAAGGCGACGACGGGUA